This 1020-nucleotide long non-coding RNA is filed under the name Homo sapiens (human). Its description in RNAcentral is "HSALNT0300210". The record is from RNAcentral. Lineage: Eukaryota; Metazoa; Chordata; Mammalia; Primates; Hominidae.
UCCUAGAGUCAAGCCAGAAACUUAAUGAUUAAACAAAUCACUUCCUUGAACGCAGUCUUUUUCCAAGGUUCUGUUAGCCAUACUCUCAGGAAGCUGUGAAGUAGGGAGAUCUACGUGGGGGUCUCUUUGUACUGAGACUCAUCAGCAUCUCGGAAAGCAGAAGGGCCUGAAUUAUUGCAGGCACAAGUGGGAGGCUGGGACAGCAUUUCUGACUUCCUGGGAGAAGAUGUCGAAGACACAGGAGAAGACAAGCCAGGGAGAGGGGCUUAGAGCAGAUUCUCCCUUGCAGCCUCAGAAGGAAUCAGUCCUGGUCACACCUUGAUCUCAGACUUCUGGCCUCCAGAAUGGGGACUUAAAACCAACAUCCCACACUCAUAAUGAAAACCUGGCAGGAGGCAGAACAGGAUUGGAGCUGCUUCAAAGCCUUAGGUCCAGAGAACUCAUCACCUAUGCAGAUCCUCAAUAAGACUCAAAGCUGAUUCCGCCUCAGAAACCAUGGAGACCCAAAGCCAAAUUCAAAGUGCUGAAAGUUAACUCAUCCAAUCAGUCAACUCUUGUACAGACCUCCUUUUUUUUUGUUCUUGGAGUUUGUUUUAUUCUAAUAAAGGUGUUUUAUAUUGUUGUUGUAUUAUUCUUAAAUACCAUAUUUUAGUUGCUAUUAUAAAUGGUACUUCUAUUGCCGUUUUGUCUAACAUUUUCUGGUGGUCAAAUUUCUAGCUAGUGUGGAAGAACACUGAUGGUUUUUACUUAUUGAUUUUCUCUCUGGCAAUCUCACUAAACCUUAUGAUAAGUAAUAAACCUUAUGAUAGUAGAAAAGGUUGAUAUGAUAUGAUAGUAGUAAUCCUCUGGAUUACCCAUCCCCUCUUGAUAAUCUCUGUUGAAAUAAUCACAUUAUGUGCAACUAAUGACAAUGUCACUGCUCUUAUAGUCUCUAUGUGCAUUUCUUUUUCUUGUCUUACUGCUUUGACUCAUUCAGUUGACUGCCAUUCACAGAACAGAUGUGGAACGGUUGUUUUCGUU